This 3634-nucleotide long non-coding RNA is filed under the name Mus musculus (house mouse). RNAcentral's name for it is "predicted gene, 38559 (Gm38559)". Lineage: Eukaryota; Metazoa; Chordata; Mammalia; Rodentia; Muridae. The record is from RNAcentral.
ACACGAGCCACAAGCCACGACAGUUAUGGAGCUCAGAGGACAACCUUGGGAAGUCAGUUCUCUCUUCCAAUCGUACAUGUCAGGCCUGGAUGGCGAAUGCUCAUGCCGCCUCACUCUCCACAGUUCUGGGGUACUGUGUCUGGCCACAGGAUGGCUCUGCCUGGACUGAACUUCUCCCCUAAAGCCUUCAAAGCUGGGAAUUCCCACAGGAAAGGGACAAGCGCCGGGACAAGGAGCGCGGCUUCACAGGAUCCCAAUGGAGGAGCUAGAGAAAGGACUGAAGGAGCUGAAGGGGUCUGCGACCCCAUAGGAAGAACAGCAUUAUGAACUAACCAGAGUUCCCAGGGUCUAAACCACCAAGGACUACACAUGGAGGGAUCCAUCGCUCUAGCCGCAUGUGUAGCAGAGGAUGGCCUUGCCGGGCAUCAGUGGGAGAAGAGGCCCUUGGUCCUGUGAAGGCUAGAUGCCCCAGAGGGGAAUGCGAGGGCAGGGAGGCCAGAGUAGGUGGGUGGGUGGAGGCAUACCCUCAUAGAAGCAGGAGGAGGGGGAAUAGGAUAAGGGGUUUCUGGGCAGAUGGGCCCCUAAGUCCCUCCGUUUCCCAUGUAGGAUGCUCAUGAUUUGUUCCCUGGACCGUGUAUUAGGAGAGCUGCUACGGUAGCUACCAGAAGCGCCUUUCUCAUCUUAGCAUCUGGAAAUCUCACUUAGAGAGCAUUUCAGACCUUGUGUGCCAGGAAGAAAAGCCUUUUAAAUUUAGUGACUGGAAUAUGUUAUUUUUAAAAACACAUCUACUGAGAAGGAACCACUUAGGACUUGAAGUUUCUAAUGUUUGUCAAAAUCCGAGACCUAGAAAAUUUAGUUUCUAGAAUUGUUAAGUUUUGGAUUAUGUUACUAAAACAGUGGUUGUGAAAUCAAAUUUAUGACCCGGACUAACAAAAGCAUCUUUUAGUUACCAAAAUUAUGUUCUGUUACGUGUUUAAAUCUCAUCAAAGUUCUCAAAGUCCACUAAAAUAAUUUGUUCAUGAUGUCAGGCUUAAGAAGAAAAUCAGGGCGAAUGAUCAGCAGUCUGAGCACUGACUUCUCAAGCAUGAGAACCUGUGCUGGGAUCCCCAGAAACAGGGGAGUGGCAGCCUGCCUUGUAAUUCCAGCCUCAGAAAGCAGAUUCCUGGAGCAAGCCAGCCAGCAAGACUAGCCACAUCGAUUCCGGAUAUGAUUUACUAAGAAUCGCUGCUCAAACCUUCAACCUACCAGGAGACUCUGUUAAUUCAAGAUGAAGUUCAAAACUCCUUGAGUCCCUCCUCCCAAAAUCAAGAAUCCAAUGAGCAACGACAACGUCACAAAUGCAAAAUGAAGAGACCUCAUUGGAAAAUAACUCACAGCAUGCUGCUCCAUCAAGGUCCUGACUCUUCCUACUCCCCAAAUUCAUCAUAAACAGGAGCCACAUUGAAUUAGGCCCUCACACUCAUAAAUUCUUUUAAUGUAAUUGCCCCUUUGCAAGUCUUACCUCCAAAUACAUUAUUAAACACCUUAGUAAAUAUGCCAAAGCUAUAGGGGUGUUAGGACGUCAACAUGUGGCUUAAGGAGGACACAGUUCAACCCAUCAUAGAUGCAUUACAGACCUCCAUUGUUCCAGCUUUUUGCUGUUACAACAAUGCUGCCAUAAAUACUCUCAUAUGUGCAUCUUGCACAUGUGUGUGAGUGUGUCAGUAGAAUUAACUUCUCGAAGUAGAACUGCUGGGUCGAAGGAAUGCAUUCAUCUGACUAUUGUUACAUUGUCCCCCAAAUUUCUGUGUGAUUGGUACUUCCUCUAGCGUGAAUGAGUGCUGUCAUUUCCCAUCAUACACAGCACAUGGCCUGCAUCAGAUCUGUCCAAUUUGCCAUUCUGCCAGUGUUAAGUUGUCUCAUUUUGAUCUGCUUAUUUUAACUCGAGGUGGAGUUUAUUCUGUGCAUAUUCUGUCAAAUAAAAUGGCAUAUGGUGUGAUGAGAUGCCACAGUGAUUCUAGAUAUUAAGUUAAUGAAUCCAAAACCAUUAAGUGUCUGUAAUGGUUAACCUUGCCAAGCUGACAGGAUUUAGAAUUUCUCAGGAGACAAAUCUCUGAGCAUACAUAUGACGAUGUUUCCAGAGAGUAUCAACCAAGAGGGGAAGACCUACCCCAAAUGUGGGUGGUAUCAUCCUGUAGGCUGGAGUUCUGGACAGAAGACAGAAGAGAAAUGAGGAGUCUGCCAGCAGCCAUCUCUCUCUGGUACCAGACUGUGAAUGUACUGCAACCAACUUAGGAGCCUCAAGCCCCUGUCACCAUGCGCUCCCCUCCAUGAGGGACUAUACCCUUAAACUGUAAGCCAAAAUACCAAACCGGCAUCCUUACUGAAGUUUACAGGCAGGAUAGAACCAUGAUUCCAGGACAGCCCAAUGAAGCAGAGCCUGUUCUACAUAAAGGGUGUUCUAAGUAGUACUUGCUGAGUGAAACUGGUCACUGGGCAACCCAUUCGUCUUCAGUCCGUGCGGUAGAAACCCCUAACUAUCUGUGCCUGGCUGAAUGGCUUCAUUCCUGACUUUAGUAACUUUAAAUUAAUUAAGGAUUUUCCUUCUGCUGACUUUCCUCCAGUUGAUAUGUUCGCCAUGACUUGACCUGAUAUUUACAAACUACACUGAAAGGAACAGUUGUUUUUCAUUUGGAGCUUCUCUGGGAAAGUUUGGCAAAUAAGUCAAAUUUAAUUUUUAGUCUCUGACGAGAAUAAACCUCACUGUUUUUGCAUACUACCACAUUUCUAGAAACUGUCAAACCGGGCCCCACAAGCAGGAGCUGGUAUCAGAAACAGACGCAUCUAGAGAACAAAGAAAGUUUCAAGUAAAUAGACAAGAGGCUGGAAGGACAGGAGUACAUUUGCUAUAGGACAUGCAAUUUUUUAAGGGAAAAUGGCCUCCGGGUCUUUGGUGUGAGUACUUAUUCAGAUGAGGACCCCCACAGUGGGGAAGAAGGUUCUUCCAUAUCUAAGAACUGUGUUUCCUGGGAGCCUUCUUAUAGCAGCGGCAAUAUCUGUGAACGGUAAUGGAUUCUGUUGGCCACAUGUACAUCUGAAACGCACAUUAAGGUUUCCGUGCCUGGGGAUUUCAUCAUGUUUUUGGCAGGGGUCUGUACACAUAAGGAGACCUUUUGUCAAACCACAUAACUCUGGCUUGUUUAUGAGCUCUAAAAUUAAAUUAUCUUGCAUAAAUGCUCUGAAGGUAAUCUUCAUAUUAGUGUCAACAGUCCACAGUGCCACCACAAAAGACACAGUCACAAUUCAUUCUGUGACACUGGGCAGCCCUUCAGCUUCCUUGGUGGUACAAUGUGCUGUUUCAUGGGAGUUUUGUGACCUACAGACUCUCACAAGUCCGGGGAAGGGAAAUUGUAGCUGGAAACACUGCUGCCAAAUCUGUAGCAAAAGCAGUCACUAUGGAACAAUGGAAAUGCAUGAAUGUAAAAGAACAAAACUCUACUUCAGAGCCUACAAACAUUUUUCUGUGUGGGACCAAAUAGUAAACAUUUUACAUUUUCCAAGCUAUACAGUCUAGGUUUAUGGGCAGCUACUAAAUUUUGCUAUUAUGCCAUAUGAAAAAUCACCAUAGACAAUAAAUAAAUGGAGAGCCACUGGC